RNAcentral lists this ribosomal RNA (505 nucleotides) under uncultured bacterium. Its description in RNAcentral is "bacterial SSU rRNA". It matches the Rfam family "Bacterial small subunit ribosomal RNA", at positions 28 to 527 of the family's 1533-position model. The record is from RNAcentral.
GACGAACGCUGGCGGCGUGGAUUAGGCAUGCAAGUCGAACGGUAUCAUCCUUUCGGGGGUGAGAGAGUGGCGAACUGGUGAGUAACACGUAGGUUAUCUACCCUCAAGACGGGGACAACCCAGGGAAACUUGGGCUAAUACCGGAUGUGAGCAACUUUUAGUUGUUUGAAAGGUGGCGUAAGCUGUCGCUUGGGGAUGAGCCUGCGUCCUAUUAGUUAGUUGGUGAGGUAACGGCUCACCUAGGCAAUGAUAGGUAGGCGGCCUUAACGGGUGGUCGCCCACACUGGGAUUGAGAUACGGCCCAGACUCCUACGGGAGGCAGCAGUCGAGAAUAGUCUACAAUGGUCGGAAGACUGAUAGUGCGACGCCGCGUGAACGAUGAAUCCCUUCGGGUGUAAAGUCUUUUAUAUGUGAGCAGUGCUUCUUAUAUUAACAGUAUGGGGAGAGAGAUAUUAGCAUAUGAAUAAGCAACGGCUAACUCCGUGCCAGCAGCCGCGUAAACUCG